GACGAACGCUGGCGGCGUGCUUAACACAUGCAAGUCGAACGGAAAGGCCCUGCUUUUGUGGGGUGCUCGAGUGGCGAACGGGUGAGUAACACGUGAGUAACCUGCCCUUGACUUUGGGAUAACUUCAGGAAACUGGGGCUAAUACCGGAUAGGAGCUACUGCUGCAUGGUGGGGGUUGGAAAGUUUCGGCGGUUGGGGAUGGACUCGCGGCUUAUCAGCUUGUUGGUGGGGUAGUGGCUUACGAAGGCUUUGACGGGUAGCCGGCCUGAGAGGGUGACCGGCCACAUGGGGACUGAGAUACGGCCCAGACUCCUACGGGACGCAGCAGUGGGGAGUAUUGCACAAUGGGCGGAAGCCUGAUGCAGCAACGCCGCGUGCGGGAUGACGGCCUUCGGGUUGUAAACCGCUUUCGCCUGUGACGAAGCGUGAGUGACGGUAAUGGGUAAAGAAGCACCGGCUAACUACGUG
Molecule: ribosomal RNA, 468 nt
Filed under: uncultured bacterium
Lineage: Bacteria
Description: partial 16S ribosomal RNA
Rfam family: Bacterial small subunit ribosomal RNA
Source: RNAcentral